UAGGAUGUUAUACUGAGA
RNAcentral lists this non-coding RNA (18 nucleotides) under Rattus norvegicus (Norway rat). The record is from RNAcentral. Lineage: Eukaryota; Metazoa; Chordata; Mammalia; Rodentia; Muridae.